CCUACGGGAGGCAGCAGUGAGGAAUAUUGGACAAUGGAGGCAACUCUGAUCCAGCCAUGCCGCGUGCAGGAUGACGGCCCUAUGGGUUGUAAACUGCUUUUAUAUAGGAAGAAACCUUUUCACGUGUGAGAAGCUGACGGUACUAUAAGAAUAAGGACCGGCUAACUCCGUGCCAGCAGCCGCGGUAAUACGGAGGGUCCGAGCGUUAUCCGGAAUCAUUGGGUUUAAAGGGUCCGUAGGCGGGAAUCUAAGUCAGUGGUGAAAUCUUGCAGCUCAACUGUAAAAUUGCCAUUGAUACUGGAUUUCUUGAAUUAGUGUGAAGUGGUUAGAAUGUGUAGUGUAGCGGUGAAAUGCAUAGAUAUUACACAGAAUACCAAUUGCGAAGGCAGAUCACUAACACUAUAUUGACGCUGAGGGACGAAAGCGUGGGGAGCGAACAGGAUUAGAUACCCUGGUAGUCCACGCCGUAAACGAUGGAUACUAGCUGUUCGAUCUUCGGAUUGAGUGGCUAAGCGAAAGUGAUAAGUAUCCCACCUGGGGAGUACGUUCGCAAGAAUGAAACUCAAAGGAAUUGACGG
This 578-nucleotide ribosomal RNA is filed under the name uncultured Flavobacteriaceae bacterium. Its description in RNAcentral is "bacterial SSU rRNA". It matches the Rfam family "Bacterial small subunit ribosomal RNA", at positions 338 to 916 of the family's 1533-position model. The record is from RNAcentral. Lineage: Bacteria; Pseudomonadati; Bacteroidota; Flavobacteriia; Flavobacteriales; Flavobacteriaceae.